RNAcentral lists this ribosomal RNA (1507 nucleotides) under Austrofundulus limnaeus. Its description in RNAcentral is "bacterial LSU rRNA". It matches the Rfam family "Bacterial large subunit ribosomal RNA", at positions 1271 to 2889 of the family's 2925-position model. The record is from RNAcentral. Lineage: Eukaryota; Metazoa; Chordata; Actinopteri; Cyprinodontiformes; Rivulidae.
UGCUGGAGGUAUCAGAAGUGCGAAUGCUGGCAUGAGUAACGACAAACACUGUGAAAGACAGUGUCGCCGAAAGUCCAAGGGUUCCUGCGUAAAGUUAAUCUGCGCAGGGUUAGCCGGCCCCUAAGGCGAGGGCGAAAGCCGUAGUCGAUGGGAACCACGUUAAUAUUCGUGGGCCAGUGGGUGUGUGACGGAUGCAGCAAGUUGUUGAGGCUUAUCGGAUUGCCGAGGCAGCGAAUGUGUCCCUGGAAAUAGCCCCCACGUAGACCGUACCCGAAACCGACACAGGUGGACUGGUAGAGAAUACCAAGGAGCUUGAGCGAAGUGUGCUGAAGGAACUCGGCAAAUUACCUGCGUAACUUCGGGAGAAGCAGGCUAUCUCUUCGGGCAACCGGAGGGGUAGGGCACAAACUAGGGGGUGGCGACUGUUUACCUAAAACACAGGGCUAUGCUAAGUCCAACGACGACGUAUAUGGCCUGACGCCUGCCCGGUGCUGGAAGGUUAAGAGGAGAGGUUCACGCCUUGAAUCGAAGCCCCAGUAAACGGCGGCCGUAACUAUAACGGUCCUAAGGUAGCGAAAUUCCUUGUCGGGUAAGUUCCGACCUGCACGAAUGGAGUAAUGAUGGCCACACUGUCUCCUCCAGAGACUCAGCGAAGUUGAAAUGUUUGUGAUGAUGCAAUCUCCCCGCGGAAAGACGGAAAGACCCCAUGAACCUUUACUGUAGCUUUACAUUGGACUUUGAACAGAUCUGUGUAGGAUAGGUGGGAGGCUUUGAAGUAAGGUCGCUAGAUCUUAUGGAGCCGACGUUGAAAUACCACCCUGGUGUGUUUGAGGUUCUAACCUUGGCCCGUUAUCCGGGUUGGGGACAGUGUAUGGUGGGCAGUUUGACUGGGGCGGUCUCCUCCCAAAGUGUAACGGAGGAGUUCGAAGGUACGCUAGUUACGGUCGGAAAUCGUGACGAUAGUGCAUUGGCAUAAGCGUGCUUGACUGCGAGACUGACAAGUCGAGCAGGUACGAAAGUAGGACAAAGUGAUCCGGUGGUUCUGUAUGGAAGGGCCAUCGCUCAACGGAUAAAAGGUACUCCGGGGAUAACAGGCUGAUACCGCCCAAGAGUUCAUAUCGACGGCGGUGUUUGGCACCUCGAUGUCGGCUCAUCUCAUCCUGGGGCUGUAGCCGGUCCCAAGGGUAUGGCUGUUCGCCAUUUAAAGAGGUACGUGAGCUGGGUUUAAAACGUCGUGAGACAGUUUGGUCCCUAUCUUCCGUGGGCGCUGCAAGAUUGAGAGAGCCUGCUCCUAGUACGAGAGGACCGGAGUGGACGCACCUCUGGUGUAUCGGUUGUCACGCCAGUGGCAUUGCCGAGUAGCUAAGUGCGGAAGAGAUAACCGCUGAAAGCAUCUAAGCGGGAAACUCGUCUCAAGAUGAGUCUUGCCGGGGCCUUGAGCCCCCUGAAGGGUCGUUCGAGACCAGGACGUUGAUAGGCUGGGUGUGGAAGCGCAGUAAUGCGUUAA